AAAUGAAUUAAGGGAAUGAAGCAGAAAACAUAAUUACUAAGUUCUGACUCAUCCCUCAGUGACUGUGUCUCUGGUUCCUACCAGGUCCAAAUGCCAACAGGAGGGGCGAAUGUGUCAUUUCUGGAGUGAACUAGCUGAAGGCAUGGCAUAACAUGAAGGGCACCUUUCCAUCUUCUUCCCCGGCGUCUCACUGGAGAUAUUUCAUCCUAAAACCUCAUGAAAUCUUGAUCCAAAGCUCAAAACAUGUGUUGUGUCAGAUGCAAAGUCACGAGAAAGUCAACAGCUCUAUCUGGUGUCCUGCUGAGUGGCCGGGCAGCUUUCUUGGCGUGAACUCUGAGCAUUCGUUGUCUCCUGCUUUGGUCUUGGUUGACUUGUCGGUGUUUUCAUGGUCGUUAACUAGAGUAUCUUAGCCUUCAUCUUUAACUCAAAUACUGCGGCCCUCAAGACUACCCCCAGGCUCAAUGACUUCCUAGAAGGCCCAUGAUUCAGCAAAGUGGUUAUGCUCACAACAACAGUUUAUUACGGCGAAAGCAUGCAGAUUGAACCCAGCAUAUGGAAGCAGUGCACAGGGUGGGCCCAGGAGAGUUCCAGUUGUCCUCUCCCGCUGGAGUCACAGGAAAUGAGAUCAGUGUAUUGAAGAGACAUCUGUACGCCCAAGUUCACUGCAGCACUAUUCACAGCAGCCAUGCCAUGGAAUCAACUCAAGUGUCCACCAGUGGAUGCAUGGAGAAAGAAAAUGUGGCAUCUGUAUACACACACGGGAGUAUUAUUCAGCCUUAAAGAGAAGGUAGGAUCCAGGUCGGCUAAGCAUGCUGGCUUCAACAGCAGGGAUGUGAGGUGAGGGAGGACAGCGAUGCAGGAGGAAUGGAGAUGCGUCUAACACGGGGUCAGACGGCAGAUUCGAGGGCUCCCUGAUGAAUGAGCAAACGCUGGCUCCAGCAUAUUUACUGCGUCACCUGUAAGUGCAUUCCUUGCUGUGCAAACUUGCUAAGUAUUUUUAGUAAGGCCAAAAGUUCCCCUAAGCACCGUAAUUAUCUCGGUUGGAGA
This 1047-nucleotide long non-coding RNA is filed under the name Homo sapiens (human). Its description in RNAcentral is "HSALNT0371682". Lineage: Eukaryota; Metazoa; Chordata; Mammalia; Primates; Hominidae. The record is from RNAcentral.